AGCUUUGUGCAGUGGCAGUAUCCUAGCCAAUGAGCUUUAUCCGAGGCACGAUUAUUUCUAAUUGAAAAGGCACAUUAUAAACAAUGAUAUGAACUAAAAAGCUAUUAAUAAAAUAUAAUUAAAAAUUGAUGAAUU
Molecule: small nuclear RNA, 135 nt
Organism: Hippopotamus amphibius kiboko
Lineage: Eukaryota; Metazoa; Chordata; Mammalia; Artiodactyla; Hippopotamidae
Product: U4 spliceosomal RNA
Exons: 1
Source: RefSeq, a predicted model, not a curated record